RNAcentral lists this transfer RNA (72 nucleotides) under Seleniivibrio woodruffii. It matches the Rfam family "tRNA". Rfam says of the family: Transfer RNA (tRNA) molecules are approximately 80 nucleotides in length. Their secondary structure includes four short double-helical elements and three loops (D, anti-codon, and T loops). The record is from Rfam by way of RNAcentral. RNAcentral also lists the same sequence under 2 other names. Lineage: Bacteria; Pseudomonadati; Deferribacterota; Deferribacteres; Deferribacterales; Geovibrionaceae.
AGGCACGUAGCUCAGUGGGAGAGCAUCGCCUUGACGUGGCGAGGGUCGCUGGUUCAAUCCCUGCCGUGCCUA